RNAcentral lists this transfer RNA (72 nucleotides) under Camelus bactrianus (Bactrian camel). It matches the Rfam family "tRNA". From Rfam's summary of the family: Transfer RNA (tRNA) molecules are approximately 80 nucleotides in length. RNAcentral also lists the same sequence under 2 other names. The record is from Rfam by way of RNAcentral. Lineage: Eukaryota; Metazoa; Chordata; Mammalia; Artiodactyla; Camelidae.
GAGGGUAUAGCUCAGUGGUAGAGCAUUGGCUUAGCGUGCACCAGGUCCUGGGUUCAAUCCCCAGUACCUCCA